Molecule: long non-coding RNA, 711 nt
Organism: Mauremys mutica (yellowpond turtle)
Lineage: Eukaryota; Metazoa; Chordata; Testudines; Geoemydidae
Exons: 5
Source: RefSeq, a predicted model, not a curated record
AGCUCCUGUUGGGAAUUACAAUCCCUGCCAUCGUAGUUCUGGCUGUGGUACUUUAUCUUCUGGGAAAGAAAGUCAUGUCUCUACCAAGGGAUCAAAGAGAACGAGCCCAGCAUGACACCAGCAACUCUGCUGAAGAUCAUAUUCAAUACGCCUCCGUGAAUUGGUUGAGAAGCUCCUGGCAUCCACCACCCCAGAGAGAAGAGACAUUGACAUACGCGAUCAUCGCUCUGCAGCGGGAGACAUGUCAUUAAUGCUCCGCUGGCUGAAAUGCAGGACUCAUCGUUGUGCAGCGGCAUCACAGAACCUCCCAAAAUCACAGGCAACUGUAACCCAGGCUUUGCAGCAAGGAAGUGGGGAACCUUCUCUGGGGCCACAGCAGUACAAUGCACAGCACCCCAAAGUGCUGUAAGACACUGGAAUAUUCUUAGGGCAAAUGCUGCCUGUUUGCCUUUUGGAAAAAAGUCACUGGCUGCUGCCGGCACCAGGUCCCCCACUAACCUCCCAGGCUGCCCUGGACCCCACAUCCCCCUGAAGUAUGGGCCCCCCCAAAGCCCAAACAUUGGUGGAGCCAGGCCCACAUUCCUAACUAUUGAUGACACACAGGUACCAUGGGCCCAUAUAACUCACCGUCUAUGAAGGGAAAAAAACUAUAUUUUACAGUGCUUUUCAGAAAUCUAUUGUGACAUUCUGUUAAUUGGGGGAGCACCCAGU